CCAGUGCUGAGGCUGUGCAGAUAAUGGGUGGGCAGCAUGCGCUGCGGAAUAAGCAGCAAGCAGCCGUCUUUACUUGGUGUCCUGCCAGCUUGACAUUCUUUUCUGCGCCGGGAGGAAGAAAUAACAGUUCUCUGCACUUCCUCCCGGCACAUAGAGAUAGAAAGACAGGAGAAGGAAGGAACCAGCUGGCAAAUCCUAGGUGCCAGGACAAAAUUCUUAAUCGC
Molecule: non-coding RNA, 224 nt
Organism: Pelobates cultripes (western spadefoot toad)
Lineage: Eukaryota; Metazoa; Chordata; Amphibia; Anura; Pelobatidae
Source: the annotation of a GenBank genome assembly